AUUGAACGCUGGCGGCAGGCCUAACACAUGCAAGUCGAGCGGAUGAAGGGAGCUUGCUCCUGGAUUCAGCGGCGGACGGGUGAGUAAUGCCUAGGAAUCUGCCUGAUAGUGGGGGAUAACGUCCGGAAACGGGCGCUAAUACCGCAUACGUCCUGAGGGAGAAAGUGGGGGAUCUUCGGACCUCACGCUAUCAGAUGAGCCUAGGUCGGAUUAGCUAGUUGGUGGGGUAAAGGCCUACCAAGGCGACGAUCCGUAACUGGUCUGAGAGGAUGAUCAGUCACACUGGAACUGAGACACGGUCCAGACUCCUACGGGAGGCAGCAGUGGGGAAUAUUGGACAAUGGGCGAAAGCCUGAUCCAGCCAUGCCGCGUGUGUGAAGAAGGUCUUCGGAUUGUAAAGCACUUUAAGUUGGGAGGAAGGGCCGUAAGUUAAUACCUUGCUGUUUUGACGUUACCAACAGAAUAAGCACCGGCUAACUUCGUG
This 484-nucleotide ribosomal RNA is filed under the name uncultured bacterium. Its description in RNAcentral is "partial 16S ribosomal RNA". It matches the Rfam family "Bacterial small subunit ribosomal RNA", at positions 30 to 507 of the family's 1533-position model. The record is from RNAcentral.